Molecule: ribosomal RNA, 237 nt
Filed under: uncultured Staphylococcus sp.
Lineage: Bacteria; Bacillati; Bacillota; Bacilli; Caryophanales; Staphylococcaceae
Description: partial 16S ribosomal RNA
Rfam family: Bacterial small subunit ribosomal RNA
Source: RNAcentral
CGGGUGAGUAACACGUGGAUAACCUACCUAUAAGACUGGGAUAACUUCGGGAAACCGGAGCUAAUACCGGAUAAUAUUUUGAACCGCAUGGUUCAAAAGUGAAAGACGGUCUUGCUGUCACUUAUAGAUGGAUCCGCGCUGCAUUAGCCAGUUGGUAAGGUAACGGCUUACCAAGGCAACGAUGCAUAGCCGACCUGAGAGGGUGAUCGGCCACACUGGAACUGAGACACGGUCCAG